RNAcentral lists this long non-coding RNA (295 nucleotides) under Hordeum vulgare. RNAcentral describes it as "long non-coding RNA (HVUL_LNC010805)". The record is from RNAcentral. Lineage: Eukaryota; Viridiplantae; Streptophyta; Magnoliopsida; Poales; Poaceae.
UUUAGGAUAAUUAGCUAAGAAGAACAAGAAGAAGAAGACUAGAAGAAGGAGAAGAAAGAGGAGAAGAAGAAGAAGAAGAAGAAGAAGAAGAAGAAGGAGAAUAAGAAGAAGUAGAAAAAGGAGAAGAAGAAGAAGAAGAAGAAGAAGAAGAAGAAGAAGAAGAAGAAGAAGAAGAAGGAGAAUGAGGAGGAGGAGUAGAAGGAGGAGGAGAAGAAGGAGGAGGAGGAGGAGUAGGAGGAGGAGGAGGAGGAGAAGAAGAAGAAGAAGGAGAAGAAGGAGAAAAUGGAGGAGGAGG